UGUGGGAGCGAGCCUGCUCGCGAAGGGGUCGGCACAUUCAGCAUAUAUGUUGACUGAACGCCGCCUUCGCGAGCAGGCUCGCUCCCACA
Molecule: non-coding RNA, 89 nt
Filed under: Pseudomonas sp. WPR_5_2
Lineage: Bacteria; Pseudomonadati; Pseudomonadota; Gammaproteobacteria; Pseudomonadales; Pseudomonadaceae
Source: RNAcentral